GAAGUCGGAAUUGCUAGUAAUCGCGGAUCAGCAUGCCGCGGUGAAUACGUUCCCGGGCCUUGUACACACCGCCCGUCACACCAUGGGAGUCGGUAACACCCGAAGCCUGUAGUCUAACCGCAAGGAGGACGCAGUCGAAGGUGGGAUUGAUGACUGGGGUGAAGUCGUAACAAGGUACC
RNAcentral lists this ribosomal RNA (179 nucleotides) under uncultured bacterium. Its description in RNAcentral is "partial 16S ribosomal RNA". It matches the Rfam family "Bacterial small subunit ribosomal RNA", at positions 1322 to 1500 of the family's 1533-position model. The record is from RNAcentral.